CCAAUAGCGUAUAUUAAAGUUGUUGCAGUUAAAAGCUCGUAGUUGAAUUUCGGGACCCGUGUGUCGGUUGGGCUUAACUGUCCAUCACUGGCAUUCGCGGGUCUCUUACCUUCUGGUGAGGUCAGAUGCCAUUCGUUUGGUGUCUGGCGGAUCCAGGACCAUUACCUUGAAAAAAUUAGAGUGUUUAAAGCAGGCUUACCGUCUGAAUACAUUAGCAUGGAAUAAUAAAAUAGGACGGCUAAGGGUUCUAUUUUGUUGGUUUCUAGGACCACCGUAAUGAUUAAUAGGGAUAGUUGGGGGCAUUAGUAUUCAAUUGUCAGAGGUGAAAUUCUUGGAUUUAUUGAAGACUAACUACUGCGAAAGCAUUUGCCAAGGAUGUUUUCAUUAAUCAAGAACGAAAGUUAGGGGAUCGAAGACGAUCAGAUACCGUCGUAGUCUUAACCAUAAACUAUGCCGACUAGGUUUCGGGCGAUGUUAAUUUUUAUGACUCGUUCGGCGCCUUACGGGAAA
This 510-nucleotide ribosomal RNA is filed under the name uncultured Glomeromycotina. Its description in RNAcentral is "SSU rRNA". It matches the Rfam family "Eukaryotic small subunit ribosomal RNA", at positions 591 to 1097 of the family's 1831-position model. The record is from RNAcentral. Lineage: Eukaryota; Fungi; Glomeromycota.